ACGCCGCGUGAGUGAUGAAGGUUUUCGGAUCGUAAAGCUCUGUUGUUAGGGAAGAACAAGUGCGAGAGUAACUGCUCGCACCUUGACGGUACCUAACCAGAAAGCCACGGCUAACUACGUGCCAGCAGCCGCGGUAAUACGUAGGUGGCAAGCGUUGUCCGGAAUUAUUGGGCGUAAAGGGCUCGCAGGCGGUUUCUUAAGUCUGAUGUGAAAGCCCCCGGCUCAACCGGGGAGGGUCAUUGGAAACUGGGAAACUUGAGUGCAGAAGAGGAGAGUGGAAUUCCACGUGUAGCGGUGAAAUGCGUAGAGAUGUGGAGGAACACCAGUGGCGAAGGCGACUCUCUGGUCUGUAACUGACGCUGAGGAGCGAAAGCGUGGGGAGCGAACAGGAUUAGAUACCCUGGUAGUCCACGCCGUAAACGAUGAGUGCUAAGUGUUAGGGGGUUUCCGCCCCUUAGUGCUGCAGCUAACGCAUUAAGCACUCCGCCUGGGGAGUACGGUCGCAAGACUGAAACUCAAAGGAAUUGACGGGGGCCCGCACAAGCGGUGGAGCAUGUGGUUUAAUUCGAAGCAACGCGAAGAACCUUACCAGGUCUUGACAUCCUCUGACAACCCUAGAGAUAGGGCUUUCCCUUCGGGGACAGAGUGACAGGUGGUGCAUGGUUGUCGUCAGCUCGUGUCGUGAGAUGUUGGGUUAAGUCCCGCAACGAGCGCAACCCUUGAUCUUAGUUGCCAGCAUUUAGUUGGGCACUCUAAUG
RNAcentral lists this ribosomal RNA (758 nucleotides) under Bacillus sp. (in: firmicutes). Its description in RNAcentral is "bacterial SSU rRNA". It matches the Rfam family "Bacterial small subunit ribosomal RNA", at positions 394 to 1145 of the family's 1533-position model. The record is from RNAcentral. Lineage: Bacteria; Bacillati; Bacillota; Bacilli; Caryophanales; Bacillaceae.